CAGCCGCCGCGGUAAUACGUAGGGAGCAAGCGUUGUCCGGAAUCAUUGGGCGUAAAGGGUGCGCAGGCGGUCUGGCAAGUCAAGUGUGAAAUGUAUCAGCUUAACUGAUAUACUGCGCUUGAAACUGUCAGACUUGAGGGCAAGAGAAGAGAGCGGAAUUCCUAGUGUAGCGGUGAAAUGCGUAGAUAUUAGGAAGAACACCAGUGGCGAAAGCGGCUCUCUAGCUUGACCCUGACGCUGAGGCACGAAAGCUAGGGGAGCGAACGGGAUUAGAUACCCCGGUAGUCCUAGCUGUAAACGCUGGAUACUAGGUGUUGGGGGUUCAACUCCCUCAGUGCUGCAGUUAACGCGUUAAGUAUCCCGCCUGGGGAUUACGACCGCAAGGUUGAAACUUAAAGGAAUUGGCGGG
RNAcentral lists this ribosomal RNA (409 nucleotides) under uncultured microorganism. RNAcentral describes it as "bacterial SSU rRNA". It matches the Rfam family "Bacterial small subunit ribosomal RNA", at positions 509 to 917 of the family's 1533-position model. The record is from RNAcentral.